AUCAAGAAGAACGAAAUUCGGGAGUAGAUCGGGGAAAAGAAAAAGUAAAGGACUAAAUUGUAAAGUUUAGUCACAUUUUGUAUCGAGUACUUAUCUAGCCACUCAGGGAUCGAAGGAAACGUCGGAGGCCGAUCACACUAUCAAAGAAAUAACUCGGUAUAAUUAGAUGUUUUGUUUUGUGUAUGGCAUGUAUAGAAACUUAGCUACUUUUGGUAUAAUAUGAACAAUGAAUGAUGUGUAAAUACUUGCUAGUGAUUAGCUAAUAAAAAUGGCCGAUGAUAUGCAUGUUUAUUAA
Gossypium arboreum is the source of this 295-nucleotide long non-coding RNA. RefSeq lists it as uncharacterized. The record is from RefSeq and is a predicted model, not a curated record. The transcript has 2 exons. NCBI's taxonomy places the organism in Eukaryota, Viridiplantae, Streptophyta, Magnoliopsida, Malvales, Malvaceae.